AGUGAACGCUGGCGGUAGGCCUAACACAUGCAAGUCGAACGGCAGCACAGGAGAGCUUGCUCUCUGGGUGGCGAGUGGCGGACGGGUGAGGAAUAUAUCGGAAUCUACUUUUUCGUGGGGGAUAACGUAGGGAAACUUACGCUAAUACCGCAUACGACCUACGGGUGAAAGCAGGGGAUCUUCGGACCUUGCGCGAUUGAAUGAGCCGAUGUCGGAUUAGCUAGUUGGCGGGGUAAAGGCCCACCAAGGCGAAGAUCCGUAGCUGGUCUGAGAGGAUGAUCAGCCACACUGGAGCUGAGACACGGUCCAGACUCCUACGGGAGGCAGCAGUGGGGAAUAUUGGACAAUGGGCGCAAGCCUGACCCAGCCAUACCGCGUGGGUGAAGAAGGCCUUCGGGUUGUAAAGCCCUUUUGUUGGGAAAGAAAUCCAGCUGGUUAAUACCCGGUUGGGAUGACGGUACCCAAAGAAUAAGGACCGGCUAACUACGUGCCAGCCGCCGCAGUAA
Molecule: ribosomal RNA, 506 nt
Filed under: uncultured bacterium
Lineage: Bacteria
Description: partial 16S ribosomal RNA
Rfam family: Bacterial small subunit ribosomal RNA
Source: RNAcentral